UGCCAGCCGCCGCGGUAAUACGAAGGGGGCGAGCGUUGUUCGGAAUUACUGGGCGUAAAGGGCGCGUAGGCGGUCUUUUAAGUUAGGCGUGAAAGCCCCGGGCUCAACCCGGGAACUGCGCUUAAGACUGGAAGACUAGAAAACGGAAGAGGGUAGUGGAAUUCCCAGUGUAGAGGUGAAAUUCGUAGAUAUUGGGAAGAACACCAGUGGCGAAAGCGGCUACCUGGUCCGAUUUUGACGCUGAGGCGCGAAAGCGUGGGGAGCAAACAGGAUUAGAUA
This 279-nucleotide ribosomal RNA is filed under the name uncultured bacterium. RNAcentral's name for it is "partial 16S ribosomal RNA". It matches the Rfam family "Bacterial small subunit ribosomal RNA", at positions 506 to 784 of the family's 1533-position model. The record is from RNAcentral.